GAUGGAGAACGUAGCGAAAUGCGAAAAGUAAUGUGAAUUGCAGAAUUCAGUGAAUCAUCGAAUCUUUGAACGCACAUUGCGCCCGCUGGUACUCCGGCGGGCACGCCUGUCCGAGCGUCAUUUCAACCCUCAAGCCCUCCUUCGGGAUGGGCCUGGUGUUGGGGCUCGGCCGCCAUCUCCGGCGGCCGUCCCCUAAAUACAGUGGCGGUCACGUCGCGACUCCUUUGCGUAGUAGAAACACCUCGCUCCGGAUAGCAACGCGGUCCACGCCGUAAAACCCCCAAUUUUCAAUGGUUGACCUCGGAUCAGGUGGGAAUACCCGCUGAACUUAAGCAUAUCAAUAAGCGGAGGA
RNAcentral lists this unclassified non-coding RNA (352 nucleotides) under soil metagenome. Its description in RNAcentral is "partial contains 5.8S ribosomal RNA, internal transcribed spacer 2, and large subunit ribosomal RNA". The stretch from base 1 to 120 matches the Rfam family "5.8S ribosomal RNA", at positions 35 to 154 of the family's 154-position model. The record is from RNAcentral.